AAAUUGAAGAGUUUGAUCAUGGCUCAGAUUGAACGCUGGCGGCAGGCCUAACACAUGCAAGUCGAGCGGUAGCACAGAGAGCUUGCUCUCGGGUGACGAGCGGCGGACGGGUGAGUAAUGUCUGGGAAACUGCCUGAUGGAGGGGGAUAACUACUGGAAACGGUAGCUAAUACCGCAUAACGUCGCAAGACCAAAGUGGGGGACCUUCGGGCCUCAUGCCAUCAGAUGUGCCCAGAUGGGAUUAGCUAGUAGGUGGGGUAACGGCUCACCUAGGCGACGAUCCCUAGCUGGUCUGAGAGGAUGACCAGCCACACUGGAACUGAGACACGGUCCAGACUCCUACGGGAGGCAGCAGUGGGGAAUAUUGCACAAUGGGCGCAAGCCUGAUGCAGCCAUGCCGCGUGUGUGAAGAAGGCCUUCGGGUUGUAAAGCACUUUCAGCGGGGAGGAAGGCGAUAAGGUUAAUAACCUUGUCGAUUGACGUUACCCGCAGAAGAAGCACCGGCUAACUCCGUGCCAGCAGCCGCGGUAAUACGGAGGGUGCAAGCGUUAAUCGGAAUUACUGGGCGUAAAGCGCACGCAGGCGGUCUGUCAAGUCGGAUGUGAAAUCCCCGGGCUCAACCUGGGAACUGCAUUCGAAACUGGCAGGCUAGAGUCUUGUAGAGGGGGGUAGAAUUCCAGGUGUAGCGGUGAAAUGCGUAGAGAUCUGGAGGAAUACCGGUGGCGAAGGCGGCCCCCUGGACAAAGACUGACGCUCAGGUGCGAAAGCGUGGGGAGCAAACAGGAUUAGAUACCCUGGUAGUCCACGCCGUAAACGAUGUCGAUUUGGAGGUUGUGCCCUUGAGGCGUGGCUUCCGGAGCUAACGCGUUAAAUCGACCGCCUGGGGAGUACGGCCGCAAGGUUAAAACUCAAAUGAAUUGACGGGGGCCCGCACAAGCGGUGGAGCAUGUGGUUUAAUUCGAUGCAACGCGAAGAACCUUACCUGGUCUUGACAUCCACAGAACUUUCCAGAGAUGGAUUGGUGCCUUCGGGAACUGUGAGACAGGUGCUGCAUGGCUGUCGUCAGCUCGUGUUGUGAAAUGUUGGGUUAAGUCCCGCAACGAGCGCAACCCUUAUCCUUUGUUGCCAGCGGUUAGGCCGGGAACUCAAAGGAGACUGCCAGUGAUAAACUGGAGGAAGGUGGGGAUGACGUCAAGUCAUCAUGGCCCUUACGACCAGGGCUACACACGUGCUACAAUGGCAUAUACAAAGAGAAGCGACCUCGCGAGAGCAAGCGGACCUCAUAAAGUAUGUCGUAGUCCGGAUUGGAGUCUGCAACUCGACUCCAUGAAGUCGGAAUCGCUAGUAAUCGUAGAUCAGAAUGCUACGGUGAAUACGUUCCCGGGCCUUGUACACACCGCCCGUCACACCAUGGGAGUGGGUUGCAAAAGAAGUAGGUAGCUUAACCUUCGGGAGGGCGCUUACCACUUUGUGAUUCAUGACUGGGGUGAAGUCGUAACAAGGUAACCGUAGGGGAACCUGCGGUUGG
This 1528-nucleotide ribosomal RNA is filed under the name Klebsiella pneumoniae subsp. pneumoniae. RNAcentral's name for it is "bacterial SSU rRNA". It matches the Rfam family "Bacterial small subunit ribosomal RNA". The record is from RNAcentral. Lineage: Bacteria; Pseudomonadati; Pseudomonadota; Gammaproteobacteria; Enterobacterales; Enterobacteriaceae.